RNAcentral lists this unclassified non-coding RNA (231 nucleotides) under rhizosphere metagenome. Its description in RNAcentral is "partial ribosomal RNA internal transcribed spacer region". The record is from RNAcentral.
CAAUAUGAAGGCGGGCUGGACAAACCCCCCUAGCUGGGCACUGCUUCACGGCGGUGCGCGGUUUGGGUGGCCGGCCCUGCUGAACUAUUCACCCGUGUCUUUUGCGUACCUCUUGUUUCCUGGGCGGGCUCGCCCGCCACCAGGACCAACCAUAAACCUUUUUGUAAUAGCAAUCCGCGUCAGUAAACAAUGUAAUCAAUUACAACUUUCAACAACGGAUCUCUUGGUUCU